AGUGAACGCUGGCGGUAGGCCUAACACAUGCAAGUCGAACGGCAGCACAGUAAGGGCUUGCUCUUACGGGUGGCGAGUGGCGGACGGGUGAGGAAUACAUCGGAAUCUACUUUUUCGUGGGGGAUAACGUAGGGAAACUUACGCUAAUACCGCAUACGACCUACGGGUGAAAGCAGGGGAUCUUCGGACCUUGCGCAAUUGAAUGAGCCGAUGUCGGAUUAGCUAGUUGGCGGGGUAAAGGCCCACCAAGGCGACGAUCCGUAGCUGGUCUGAGAGGAUGAUCAGCCACACUGGAACUGAGACACGGUCCAGACUCCUACGGGAGGCAGCAGUGGGGAAUAUUGGACAAUGGGCGCAAGCCUGAUCCAGCCAUACCGCGUGGGUGAAGAAGGCCUUCGGGUUGUAAAGCCCUUUUGUUGGGAAAGAAAAGCAGCAGGUUAAUACCCCGCUGUUCUGACGGUACCCAAAGAAUAAGCACCGGCUAACUUCGUG
This 492-nucleotide ribosomal RNA is filed under the name uncultured bacterium. RNAcentral describes it as "partial 16S ribosomal RNA". It matches the Rfam family "Bacterial small subunit ribosomal RNA", at positions 29 to 507 of the family's 1533-position model. The record is from RNAcentral.